AUAAAAAUGGCUUUGCAGCUGUGGGAGACCCUCAAGGAAGCAAUCACCGUCUACACGGGUCUCUCUCCAGCCACCUUCUUUACAGUUCUGGCUUUGGCUUUGGCCGUCUACUAUGUGAUAUCUGGGUUCUUUGGAUCCUCGGAUAAUCAUCCAAGGCCUAGAAGCGUUGAGGAGCAGAUGCAACCUCUGCCUCCUCCUGUUCAGCUUGGUGA
RNAcentral lists this unclassified non-coding RNA (212 nucleotides) under Hevea brasiliensis (rubber tree). Lineage: Eukaryota; Viridiplantae; Streptophyta; Magnoliopsida; Malpighiales; Euphorbiaceae. The record is from RNAcentral.